UAUUAUGUACUCGUAAAUUAUAGUACAUCGUAUUAAUAUUAGUGUUGAGACUAUAUCUAUUAUUUUAUUAUAAUCUAUUUGCCAAAAUAUUAUAUAGACGUUUAUUUCCCUCAAUAAUUCGAUUGCUCAUAUUAUAAUAUAUUUUAAUGAUAUUGUAAUGUUUGUUGACGACAUUUCAUUCGACUUUUCUUAGGUGCUAAAAUAUUAUUAUCAUCAUCCAAUCAUCAAUUA
Molecule: non-coding RNA, 231 nt
Organism: Cinara cedri
Lineage: Eukaryota; Metazoa; Arthropoda; Insecta; Hemiptera; Aphididae
Source: the annotation of a GenBank genome assembly